GUACACACCGCCCGUCGCUGCCCGGAACUGAGCCAUUUCGAGAAAAAUCGGGACUGACUGCUUGUGGUGCGCAAGCAUUACCUGCAGGUGGAAACGAUCUUGAUCGGUAUGGCUUGAACCGGGCAAAAGUCGUAACAAGGUUUCCGUAGGUGAACCUGCAGAAGGAUCA
Molecule: ribosomal RNA, 169 nt
Filed under: uncultured eukaryote
Lineage: Eukaryota
Description: partial small subunit ribosomal RNA
Rfam family: Eukaryotic small subunit ribosomal RNA
Source: RNAcentral